This 370-nucleotide ribosomal RNA is filed under the name uncultured cyanobacterium. Its description in RNAcentral is "bacterial SSU rRNA". It matches the Rfam family "Bacterial small subunit ribosomal RNA", at positions 359 to 745 of the family's 1533-position model. The record is from RNAcentral. Lineage: Bacteria; Bacillati; Cyanobacteriota.
AACUUUUCGCAAUGGGCGAAAGCCUGACGGAGCAAUACCGCGUGGGGGAAGAAGGUUUUUGGAUUGUAAACCCCUUUUCUCAGGGAAGAAGAUCUGACGGUACCUGAGGAAUAAGCAUCGGCUAACUCCGUGCCAGCAGCCGCGGUAAGACGGAGGAUGCAAGCGUUAUCCGGAAUUAUUGGGCGUAAAGCGUCCGUAGGUGGUUAUAAAAGUCUGUUGUUAAAGCCCACAGCUCAACUGUGGAUGGGCAAUGGAAACUAUAUGACUUGAGUGUGGUAGGGGUAGAGGGAAUUCCUAGUGUAGCGGUGAAAUGCGUAGAUAUUAGGAAGAACACCAGUGGCGAAGGCGCUCUACUGGGCCAUAACUGACA